This 253-nucleotide ribosomal RNA is filed under the name uncultured bacterium. RNAcentral's name for it is "partial 16S ribosomal RNA". It matches the Rfam family "Bacterial small subunit ribosomal RNA", at positions 524 to 776 of the family's 1533-position model. The record is from RNAcentral.
UACGUAGGGUGCAAGCGUUGUCCGGAAUUAUUGGGCGUAAAGAGCUCGUAGGCGGUUUGUUGCGUCGGCUGUGAAAUCCCGAGGCUCAACCUCGGGUCUGCAGUCGAUACGAGCAAACUAGAGUGUUGCAGGGGAGACUGGAAUUCCUGGUGUAGCGGUGAAAUGCGCAGAUAUCAGGAGGAACACCGGUGGCGAAGGCGGGUCUCUGGGCCUUACCUGACGCUGAGGCGCGAAAGCUAGGGGAGCGAACAGG